RNAcentral lists this ribosomal RNA (108 nucleotides) under uncultured bacterium. RNAcentral's name for it is "partial 16S ribosomal RNA". It matches the Rfam family "Bacterial small subunit ribosomal RNA", at positions 1379 to 1482 of the family's 1533-position model. The record is from RNAcentral.
CCUUGUACACACCGCCCGUCACGUCACGAAAGUCGGCAACACCCGAAGCCCGUGGCCCAACCAGCUUGCUGGGGGGAGCGGUCGAAGGUGGGGUUGAUGAUUGGGGUG